RNAcentral lists this ribosomal RNA (305 nucleotides) under uncultured bacterium. RNAcentral describes it as "bacterial SSU rRNA". It matches the Rfam family "Bacterial small subunit ribosomal RNA", at positions 337 to 638 of the family's 1533-position model. The record is from RNAcentral.
UCCUACGGGACGCAGCAGUGAGGAAUAUUGGUCAAUGGGUGGAAGCCUGAACCAGCCAAGUCGCGUGAGGGAAGAAGGCCCUGCGGGUCGCAGACCUCUUUGGACGGGGAGCAAGGCCGCCGACGUGUCGGCGGAAGGAGAGUACCCGUAGAACAAGCAUCGGCUAACUCCGUGCCAGCAGCCGCGGUAAUACGGAGGAUGCGAGCGUUAUCCGGAUUUAUUGGGUGUAAAGGGCGUGUAGGCGGGAAUGCAAGUCAGAUGUGAAAACUAUGGGCUCAACCCAUAGCCUGCAUUUGAAACUGUAU